UUAACACAUGCAAGUCGAACGCUGAAGCCUGGUGCUUGCACCGGGUGGAUGAGUGGCGAACGGGUGAGUAAUACGUGAGUGACCUGCCUUUGACUCUGGGAUAAGCCUGGGAAACUGGGUCUAAUACCGGAUGCGACUACUGCCCGCAUGGGCUGGUGGUGGAAAGGGUUAUGUACUGGUCUUAGAUGGGCUCACGGCCUAUCAGCUGGUUGGUGGGGUAAUGGCCUACCAAGGCGACGACGGGUAGCCGGCCUGAGAGGGUGACCGGCCACACUGGGACUGAGACACGGCCCAGACUCCUACGGGAGGCAGCAGUGGGGAAUAUUGCACAAUGGGCGCAAGCCUGAUGCAGCGACGCCGCGUGAGGGAUGACGGCCUUCGGGUUGUAAACCUCUUUCAGCAGGGAAGAAGCGGAAGUGACGGUACCUGCAGAAGAAGCGCCGGCUAACUACGUGCCAGCAGCCGCGGUAAUACGUAGGGCGCAAGCGUUGUCCGGAAUUAUUGGGCGUAAAGAGCUCGUAGGCGGCUUGUCGCGUCUGCUGUGAAAGCCCGGGGCUUAACUCCGGGUGUGCAGUGGGUACGGGCAGGCUAGAGUGCAGUAGGGGUAACUGGAAUUCCUGGUGUAGCGGUGAAAUGCGCAGAUAUCAGGAGGAACACCGAUGGCGAAGGCAGGUUACUGGGCUGUUACUGACGCUGAGGAGCGAAAGCAUGGGGAGCGAACAGGAUUAGAUACCCUGGUAGUCCAUGCCGUAAACGUUGGGCACUAGGUG
This 770-nucleotide ribosomal RNA is filed under the name Micrococcaceae bacterium. RNAcentral's name for it is "bacterial SSU rRNA". It matches the Rfam family "Bacterial small subunit ribosomal RNA", at positions 48 to 822 of the family's 1533-position model. The record is from RNAcentral. Lineage: Bacteria; Bacillati; Actinomycetota; Actinomycetes; Micrococcales; Micrococcaceae.